RNAcentral lists this long non-coding RNA (1007 nucleotides) under Cyanistes caeruleus (blue tit). Its description in RNAcentral is "lncRNA (ENSCCEG00000010731.1)". Lineage: Eukaryota; Metazoa; Chordata; Aves; Passeriformes; Paridae. The record is from RNAcentral.
GAAAAAAAUAAGAAAAAUCAGGGUAAGGCAAUCACCCAGUGUUCAGGUUCAACUUUAAACCGUGGUACAAAUGAAACAGAUAGCUCCAUCUCAUCAGGGCAGCCCCUGCUCCAGAGCCUGGACUCACAGGGAUACAAAGCAAAAACAUCUCCAGCUUCCAAUUCCAACCCCGCCGCCCCAAACAUUCACGUUUGCUAAAACAGAAACGUGCGUUUCUAAACUCUUGCCUUAUUUUUAUGUUAAAAAAUAUUGUUUUUGAAGUCCCACCUGCGGUGGCCGGGCGGUUGCUAGGUGACGGUGCCGCAUGGACCGUCGCCGGUGAUGAAUGGCCCGGCUGGCGGCGGUCCCUGCUCUGCCACUGCCACUCGUGCCCUCCGACGGCGCUGCCACCGACCAGCACAGAGGCUGCAAAGGCCACGGACGGGUUUUGGCAGCGUGAGAGUUGGCCUGCCCUGCACCAGCCCAGCCAGGGGGAUGUCAGUGCGUCACCAGCGGCUUCACCACUCUGUUGGCUCUGGCAGCGCUGCCAAGGCCAACGGGGGCGUGAAACUGCCCCAAGGGGUCAUAGGAGCCUGUCUGAAAAGUAAUGGCAGCAGUGUUGGGGUUCAGGAGAACCCACAACAAGCAUGGAUGCUCAAAGCUGAUGCUCCACAGCCUGCUGUGGCCACCAUCAGACCCUGGCCAGCACUGUCACCAAGCUUGUCCAUAUCUGAGAUGCUCACAAAACAGGUGGUAUCUGUUUCAAGCAGCAACCUUUUCACUUCGUGCAUGAAGACUUGUAAACUUCCCGUGGCUACACCAGCGGUUCCUAACCAGGUGCCGGCGCCGGAGCCGCAGUCUCUGAAGAGCAGGAAACUCCAUAUGCUGAUCUCCGGCUAUGUAGAUGCCAUUCGUUUCUCCUUGAAAGUUUAUUGUCAGAAUUACUGAAAUGUACACAAAUGUCUGUAUUUGAAGGUGAAAUUUGGUGGAAAAAUAAAGAUAUAAUAGGAUCCUUUCUUAUAUAAUUU